RNAcentral lists this long non-coding RNA (792 nucleotides) under Heterocephalus glaber (naked mole-rat). RNAcentral's name for it is "lncRNA (ENSHGLG00100040720.1)". The record is from RNAcentral. Lineage: Eukaryota; Metazoa; Chordata; Mammalia; Rodentia; Bathyergidae.
GGCGGAUGGGCCGCUCCUCGUCUGCGUCUAUGGGCACGUUGGUGCUCUGGAUCCACGUGUUGGUGCACAGGUGCCGCAGGCGCACAUAGGAGUUCCUGUAGGCGGGUGGGUGCUCAGACUCCCCACACCAACUGACAGCCCUGGGGCAGGGCCACCAGCACUGCCUGGGAAGCCUGCAGCCAGGCCCAGAGGAGCAAGUCGGAGCCUGUCCCUGAACCCAGGGCCAGAAUUCACACACAGAGCAAGGCUGCUGAGGCUUUAUCUCAUUUAAAGUAGAGACACAUGCGGGUCACAGAAAUCGUCUCUGAUUACAAAACCCAAGUUCAUCUUUUUUUUUUUUUUUUUGCCAUACUGGGGGUUAAACCCAGGCCUUCGCAUUAAGCUACAUCUCUAGCCCUUUUUAUUAUUAUUAUUUUUAAUCUUGAGGGAAAAAUCUCACUAAGUUGCUAAAUUGCCCAGACUGGGCUUGAAGUUUCGAUCAUCCUGCCUCAGCCUCCCCAAAGUGCUGGGAUUGCAGGCCUACACCACCAUGCUCAACUACAGGAUCGUCUUUCUGAGAUGAAAGACCACCUGAAUCUCAAAAUGCAUCUGGCCCCAAGGCUUUCAGCUUCCAGAAGGGCUGGAUGAAGAGCCAGGAGCCCUCGUUGCCCGUGGCAUCCAGCGUCACCCGCAUGGCGUUUUUCUCCAGCAGCGCAGGGAGUCGCUUGUUCACCGUCAGGGAGCCCCACCAGCUCGAGCCAUGCUGUUAUUACAGACGGGAAAACUGAGCCACAAGAGGGUAACUUGCCCGAG